GGAUAAUCGGGAGAAAUCCCUUCUAAUACCGCGUAAUGCCGCGGGGCUGCAUGGCCCUGCGGCCAAAGGGAGCGAUUCCGGCAACGGAUGGGCAUGCGUGACAUUAGCUAGUUGGCGGGGCAACGGCCCACCAAGGCGACGAUGUCUAGGGGUUCUGAGAGGAAGGUCCCCCACACUGGUACUGAGACACGGACCAGACUCCUACGGGAGGCAGCAGUGAGGAAUAUUGGUCAAUGGGCGCGAGCCUGAACCAGCCAAGUCGCGUGAGGGAUGACGGCCCUACGGGUUGUAAACCUCUUUUGUCGGGGAGCAAAUUCCGCCACGUGUGGCGGAGUCGAGAGUACCCGAAGAAAAAGCAUCGGCUAACUCCGUGCCAGCAGCCGCGGUAAUACGGAGGAUGCGAGCGUUAUCCGGAUUUAUUGGGUUUAAAGGGUGCGUAGGCGGACUGUCAAGUCAGCGGUAAAAUACGGGGGCUCAACCUCCGCCCGCCGUUGAAACUGACGGUCUUGAGUGGGCGAGAAGUAUGCGGAAUGCGUGGUGUAGCGGUGAAAUGCAUAGAUAUCACGCAGAACUCCGAUUGCGAAGGCAGCAUACCGGCGCCCGACUGACGCUGAAGCACGAAAGCGUGGGUAUCGAACAAGAUUAGAUACCCUGGUAGUCCACGCAGUAAACG
RNAcentral lists this ribosomal RNA (673 nucleotides) under uncultured bacterium. Its description in RNAcentral is "bacterial SSU rRNA". It matches the Rfam family "Bacterial small subunit ribosomal RNA", at positions 141 to 808 of the family's 1533-position model. The record is from RNAcentral.